RNAcentral lists this non-coding RNA (31 nucleotides) under Rattus norvegicus (Norway rat). Lineage: Eukaryota; Metazoa; Chordata; Mammalia; Rodentia; Muridae. The record is from RNAcentral.
UCCAAUGUGCUGGUUACAUCCCACGAUGGUU